This 856-nucleotide ribosomal RNA is filed under the name Lactobacillus gasseri. RNAcentral's name for it is "bacterial SSU rRNA". It matches the Rfam family "Bacterial small subunit ribosomal RNA", at positions 1 to 862 of the family's 1533-position model. The record is from RNAcentral. Lineage: Bacteria; Bacillati; Bacillota; Bacilli; Lactobacillales; Lactobacillaceae.
AGAAAUUUCCAGGGCUUACUCUGGCAGACGAGCGAGCUUGCCUAGAUGCAGUUGGUGCUUGCCCAGAUGAAGCUAAGCAGGUGCGAGCGUCGUGGGGUGAGUAACACGUGUUUAACCUGCUCAUGAGACUGGGAUAACACCUGGAAACAGAUGCUUGACCGGAUAACAACACCCGACGCAUGUGGAGGGUUUAAAAGAUGGUUCUGCUAUGCUCUUGGAUGGACCUGCCGUGCAUUAUCUAGUUGGUAAGGUAACGGCUUACCAAGGCAAUGAUGAAUAACCGAUUUGAGAGACUGAUCGGCCACAUUGGGACUGAGACACGGCCCUAACCCAUACGGGAGGCAGCAGGGGGAAUCUUCCCCUAUGCACGCAAGUCUGAUGGAGCAUCCCCGCGUGAGUGAAGAAUGGUUUCGGCUCGUAAAGCCCUGUUGGUAUUGAACAAAGAUCUAGGUAGUAACUGCCCUUUAUUUGACGUUCAUUACUUAGAAAGUCCGUCUAACUACGUGCCGCGGCCGCGGUCUACAUAAGUGGUAAGCUUUGUCCGGAUUCUUGGGCGUAAAGCGAGUGCAUGCUGUUCAUAUGUCUGAUGUGAAAGCCUUCGGCUCACUGGACAAUUGCAUUAACACUUUGAACUUGAGUGCACACGAUCAGAGUGAACCUCCUGUGUACCGCCGGUAUGCGUUAGAUAUAUGGCAUAACCCCAGUGGCGACAGACGGCUCUCUGGUCUGCACCUGACGCUCAAGGCUCGAAAACCUGGUAAACGAAAAGAUACUAACCCCUAGUACUCCCCGCCAAAUCCUAUGACUGCUUAUUGUCUGGGAGGUUUGCCGCCUCCCCAUUGCUACUUCUGUCGUA